Molecule: non-coding RNA, 115 nt
Organism: Acanthosepion pharaonis
Lineage: Eukaryota; Metazoa; Mollusca; Cephalopoda; Sepiida; Sepiidae
Source: the annotation of a GenBank genome assembly
CUAUGGCCAUACCACAAUGAAACACUGUUUCCCAAUGCAAUCUCUGAAGUUAAGCAAUGUUGAACCUAGUCAGUAUCUAGAUGGGUGACUGCUUGGGAAUACCAGAUGCUGUAAG